GUGCCCACUUGAGUAGCACAUGUACUAAAAUUGGAAUGAUACAGAGAUUAGCAUGGCCCCUGCACAAGGAUGAAUGUCACUACUCUGGGAACCUCAUGCAGGUGGCAUUGUCUU
Canis lupus familiaris (dog) is the source of this 114-nucleotide non-coding RNA. Lineage: Eukaryota; Metazoa; Chordata; Mammalia; Carnivora; Canidae. The record is from Rfam.